RNAcentral lists this ribosomal RNA (448 nucleotides) under uncultured bacterium. RNAcentral describes it as "bacterial SSU rRNA". It matches the Rfam family "Bacterial small subunit ribosomal RNA", at positions 329 to 793 of the family's 1533-position model. The record is from RNAcentral.
UGCCAGACUCCUACGGGAGGCAGCAGUGGGGGAUAUUGCACAAUGGGGGAAACCCUGAUGCAGCGACGCCGCGUGGGUGAAGAAGCGCCUCGGCGCGUAAAGCCCUGUCAGCAGGGAAGAAAAUGACGGUACCUGAAGAAGAAGCCCCGGCUAACUACGUGCCAGCAGCCGCGGUAAUACGUAGGGGGCAAGCGUUAUCCGGAUUUACUGGGUGUAAAGGGUGCGUAGGCGGCUUGGCAAGUCAGUAGUGAAAUCCAUGGGCUUAACCCAUGAACUGCUAUUGAAACUGUCGAGCUUGAGUGAAGUAGAGGUAGGCGGAAUUCCCGGUGUAGCGGUGAAAUGCGUAGAGAUCGGGAGGAACACCAGUGGCGAAGGCGGCCUACUGGGCUUUAACUGACGCUGAGGCACGAAAGCGUGGGCAGCAAACAGGAUUAGAUACCCCCGUACG